CCCCUCUCUGCUUCUAGACCGUCCCUCCUUCAUUAAGGAUAAUUUUGAUCAAUAUUUGAUAUAAAAACUAAAACACACUAGGCACUACUAUUUAGUUUCAAGUGUGUAUUUGAGGGGAGAGUUUGGUUUAACUGAGGACCCUGAACUGCAGUGUACAACCCUGCAGAGAAAUGUUCAAGUGACUGCACAUGUUACUCUAGCAGCUGCUAGUAGCUCUGUGUCUCAUCAUCAUUCAUCUCGGCUGUGGGACUGGGCUCAAGAGAGAGAAUCAAUGUGCACCAAAAGACACAAAUGGAGGAAUGAGUCUGCCACUACCAAAGACAGUGGAUGGGGAUUGGGGAUAGAGGACUAUCACUCCCCCCUUCUCCCAGAAAUCAAUCCACGCCCAUCAACUGGGGUCAGGUCGUUGUGCAAGCAUCUGCUAUCUUCGUCUGUCCAAGACAGCACUAACGCCCUCCUGCUUCUAAUCUUUUUUGAUGAAAUCCUACUCGGAAUCUCAGGUAACUGUUGAAAUAGUUCAUGGCGUUGACAUUUAAUUUUAACAGAAAUC
Molecule: long non-coding RNA, 550 nt
Filed under: Gopherus agassizii (Agassiz's desert tortoise)
Lineage: Eukaryota; Metazoa; Chordata; Testudines; Testudinidae
Description: lncRNA (ENSGAGG00000013377.1)
Source: RNAcentral